AGAGUUUGAUCAUGGCUCGAGGACGAACGCUGGCGGCGUGCUUAACACAUGCAAGUCGAACGGUAAGGCCCUUCGGGGUACACGAGUGGCGAACGGGUGAGUAACACGUGGGUGAUCUGCCCUGCACUUCGGGAUAAGCCUGGGAAACUGGGUCUAAUACCGGAUAGGACCAUGGACUUCACGGUUUGUGGUGGAAAGCUUUUGCGGUGUGGGAUGGGCCCGCGGCCUAUCAGCUUGUUGGUGGGGUAAUGGCCUACCAAGGCGACGACGGGUAGCCGGCCUGAGAGGGUGUCCGGCCACACUGGGACUGAGAUACGGCCCAGACUCCUACGGGAGGCAGCAGUGGGGAAUAUUGCACAGUGGGCGCAAGCCUGAUGCAGCGACGCCGCGUGAGGGAUGACGGCCUUCGGGUUGUAAACCUCUUUCAAUAGGGACGAAGCGCAAGUGACGGUACCUAUAGAAGAAGCACCGGCCAACUACGUG
This 483-nucleotide ribosomal RNA is filed under the name uncultured bacterium. RNAcentral's name for it is "bacterial SSU rRNA". It matches the Rfam family "Bacterial small subunit ribosomal RNA", at positions 8 to 507 of the family's 1533-position model. The record is from RNAcentral.